CCUCUUAACGAACCUUUUUAUUCAUUUGGUGUGGACCGAUGAGAUGAUUUAGGCAGAGUUACAUUUGCAAGUGCCCACCAAAUUAACUACAUUGACAUAAUUGCUUGUACAAAUUACUCUGGAAUCUGCGUUCCAGGUUUUGAGGGAUGCAAUCUAAUAACCCUGAUAAAGAUCAUACUUGCUAGCAUGCAUUACUUUUCCAUUCUUUCUAAAGAAUCAAGAACUUAUUGAUCAACUUAUACAUCCUUGAGAACUGAACUCUUGUAGCAAGACUGAAAAAUCCUAAUCUAUUUUUUUUUCCAUAUCCAGCUGCUUUUGUAGGUACACUUAGUCGCCAAUGGGUGGAUAGGUUGUGUUUGGGAGCCUCUGUCCAAGCACAAAUGAGCGAAAUAGGCCGAGAGCUCGGUCUGGCUGUGCAAAUGGCACCAUGUGAGAUGCGCCCCGCACUGUUGCAAAGGUCAGAAGAUUACCGUACUCUGUUGUCCAACCUCCAACCUUGAAAAUCAAAGAGCAACAUAUGUUACAUUCAUGUUUUAUAUCAUCAAAUUUGGCAUCUGUAAUUCAACUUGUAUUCAUAGCAUAGAAGUAUACCUGGCCUUUGCGGAACCAAGUACUGUACGGAACUGUGACAGGCAACCCCAUGUCAUGAGCUAGCUCUCGCACAAGGGUUCGGGAGCCCAAGAGGGGCACCACAGAGUCUUGAUCGCCGCUGUAACGUAAUUCACAUUGUCAUAACAAAUUGCACACGGAAUGAAACAAAUUAUCUGAAUAAAUAUACUCAGACUGGUAUAUGAAAAGGUAAGUUAUUUACCUGAAUAUCCAAAGUGGUAUCUUAUGUUCCACUAUUCUCCGAAGUAAAGGCAAGAUGUUGAUGUUACCAUCCUUAUCGGUGUAAUUCAGCACACUGGGACAUGAUUUUAGAUGAUCCAUGUGAGUUUGAGUUGCAAAGAUGAGCAGUUCAUUUACUCUGACACUCUCUUCUCUCUUUACAUAUUUAUUACUGAAAGGACCAACAUAUGUAUUUGGCAGAAGUAGCAAUAGAAGCACUUACUCACUGCACAUGCCCCAGCCAUAAGGUAGAUGUGUUCUAUUAGCAUGAAGAGCAUGCUGCACUUCUGGAAGAUUGAAGUAGAAGUACCUUUCAUAUGACAUGCAAACAUCCACUCCUAAACUGAUCUUGGUCACCUAGGUUGCACAAAAAACUAGUCACACAACAGCAAUCAAAGGUUCUGAUGUAAAUAUCAUGUGCCAUCCAUGAGGCAAUGAGCAUACAUAUUUGCGCAGUCGUAGCUCCUGCAUCACGAUCGAUGGGUAACAGACGUCGAGAAUGACAUCAUAGUUGUUGACGUAUUGUCCAACUAUGGAGUUUGCCUCGGCAAUGGCAUCAUUGCAUGACUUGCUCUCAUUGUGGGGGCUACCGAAUGUGUAAUCCUCAAAAUCACAACCCUUGUUUAUGGCCAGAAAUAUCUCAUCAGAUAUCAUACCAUGGGACCAGAAGUACUCAUAUGUCGCGGGGACAUCCCUGUCAAGCUUGAGUAACGGAUUCCCGAUCUACUCAAGGUAAUCUCAGAGUCAACAAAAUAGUCGUAGUAAGUACUCCCUCCGUCCCAUAAUAUAAGAGCGUUUCUGACACUACUAGUGUCAAAUACGCUCUUAUAUUAUGGAAGUAGAACAUAGUUGAUUCAAGAGAUGUCCAGGCUAUGCUUGACUACUUACAGCUACCCCCUUGAUAUUGAACUUAAAACCCUUAGAUUUCUCAUUGUGUGUGAGAAGGACAUCAGUGAGUUGCGGUAUAUAAUGCCCUGCAUUAUCAUUAGCGCAGAAUCACUCGCCAUAGAAGAGAGGCAAUCGAAACACAUAUUCCUGAAGUAGAACUUGAAAUGCUUUCUAACCUGCAUAGCUCUCUCCCGAAAGAAGUAAGCUGCUUGAUCUGUACUCCGGGAACUUCUUAUACCAUCCCAACAGAAAUUUGUACAUAUCAUUAGCUGCAUAAUUAAAGAAACAUACAGUUAGAUUGAUGUGUUCGGGCUAACCGGCAUCCUGCGAUGUCACAAGAUCGCAUCGGUUUACCGGUCCGCGCAUCUCCCGUAUUGUAGUCUGACGAAGUGUUGGAGUAGGACCAUCCAACUCCGGCGGGCGAUUCAACAAAUAGAAGAUUGGACACUGAAAAUUAACAAAGAUAUGAAACAACUAAGAGUUAGUAAGAUCUACAAUUUCUUUCACCGAAACAUGUGAUCAGAGAGAUGGUUCCCAAAAUCUCUCAACCUUUAUUCCACGACUUCUUGUUUAAUCGAAGGCCUCUGCCAUCUCCUCUGGGAUAAAACGGACCGAGCUCCGUAAACGCACCGCCUCCAACCGAAGAACAGCCAGGACCUGAACGUCAGUGAAAUUUUGCAGCAACAUACAGUUAGCAAUCACACUUCCAUAAGUGGUAGCAGUACUGAGAUCUUUAUCUGCAUCAUAGUGUAGCAAGGCACUGUUACAUCAAAGAAAGAAGCAUCUUUUUUUUACCAAAUGAUGCCUCACUGCUUUUAAAAAUCCUCAAGGACCACAACACACAAAGCCCAAAAUGAGGCAAGGGUCCAAGGGAACAUGGUGACCUCAAAGAUACUCACAAAACUGAUUAAUUUUUUCCUUGGCAGGUGUGGAGCAGAUGACGAUUAGCGAAUGGGAGGAAGUUGUUUGUGUUUCCAGUUCAGGAAACACUGCCUGUCAUCAUAUGACCCCUGAUGGGUGAACCAGCACUCAACGUGCAAGAAAGGUACAGUAGAGGAGGAAAAGGUACCAAGGAAUUGACUAGUUUAGUAUGCUCCACUCAUCAGGCCACUAAUGCAACAGUGCUAUUAUUAGCCAUGACAAUUCCAACACCAUAGUAAAAAAAAUUGAAAAAAAAACCCAACUAAAUAGUUUUUUUAAAACUGUUUGGGGAAACCAAAAUAGUUCCCAGAAACUCUCGAGAUCCAGACAGAAAAAACAAAGUCGCUGUGAAGGCUGUAUGUGUAAGGUGAAAUGCAGACCGGGUAGAAAUUCCUGCGUCGUCCUAACUCCCAACCGCUCAAGUCGAGAGCUAAUCAACCGUGCACAUAGGAGUACUACUUUAACACAUUUUCUACCAAACUAACGGCA
RNAcentral lists this long non-coding RNA (3126 nucleotides) under Triticum aestivum (bread wheat). RNAcentral's name for it is "long non-coding RNA (TAES_LNC004176)". The record is from RNAcentral. Lineage: Eukaryota; Viridiplantae; Streptophyta; Magnoliopsida; Poales; Poaceae.